CAUCGCCUGUUGCCUGACCGCUACGGCGGUCAGGUCCGUGCGAUUUUUAUCUGGUCGUGCCGCUGGCCCCGUCAGGCCACCGCCACGCGCAAUGAGGAUACCGCCGGGCAUGCCCGGGUCUGGUCCAGCGCAGUUUCCCCGCUGAUCGGCGAGAGCCUUCGGCGAGGCGACGUAGAUAGCACGAUGCGACG
RNAcentral lists this non-coding RNA (191 nucleotides) under Cupriavidus sp. WS. RNAcentral's name for it is "RT-15 RNA". It matches the Rfam family "RT-15 RNA". Rfam says of the family: Proteobacteria. Nearby to self-splicing intron genes Lineage: Bacteria; Pseudomonadati; Pseudomonadota; Betaproteobacteria; Burkholderiales; Burkholderiaceae. The record is from Rfam by way of RNAcentral.